AUGGGCAAAAGACACGAACAGAAAAGUCACGGAGGAAGACGUAGACGUGGCCAACAAGCACACGAGACCAUGCUCCGCAUCACUGGCCAUCAGGGAAAUGCAGAUCAAAACCAGAAUGAGAUACCACCUCACACCGGUGAGAACAUUGCCAGGACAGGAAACACCAAAUGUGGGAGAGGCCGUGGAGAAAGGGGAACGUUUUCAAAAUUCAAAACUUUCAGAGGUAGCCCAUACUCACCUGAUAGGGACCAAGGCGGGGGGGGGGGGGGGGGUGCUCCCGGCCAGGCUGGGGAGCUUAGGGGGGGGCCUGAGAGCGGGGAGGGGCGCAGGGGCGGCGUGGCGGAGGGGGGCGGAGGAAGAGCCAAGGGCCUUGGGGGGCUCCUGGGGCCCAGCAGCCCAGGCCCUCAAGCCACCGCCCCAAGGCCCUGCCCUGACGGUGGACGGUGCCUGCACCCUCACCCCUCUGAGCGCGCGCAUGGGCUCCGCGGCACCCUCCCUGGGCCCCGGGGCAGGGCCCCCGCACCCUCCCUGAGCCGCCCGGAGGAGACCUGGCCUGACCCGGAGGGGGCCCCGCCGCCACCCCCUCCGCCAACAGGUCCCGCCCCUCCUCCCCCGCGCAGCCCUCUGCCCGGCACCCUGGCGGCCCAAAGGGUGUGGGUGUCGGCCCGGCUCGCUGUCCCCCGCGGUCCCUCCCGGGCACCCGCCGCGCCACCCGCGAGGGCCAGAUGCCUCUCGCACAGCCACCCCGGGGCCCCUCACGCCUCCCGGGGCCCACGCCGACCUGCGCGCCGGGGCCGGGGCCUGCAGAGCCGCUGCCGGGAGCCCCCAGCGCCGGGACCCGGAGGCCUGGAGCCGCGGUGCGGCCGCGCAACCUACUGCCCCGGCCACGGCGGGUCGGGUCGGGGUCGCCGCCUCUGCGCCCAGCUCCUCCCGCGGCCACGCCCUGGCGCCCCUCGGGUCAGCUCGGGGCAGGCGCGGGGCCAGCUCCGGCCACGCCCCGCCCCGCCCCCCGCAGAGCCUGGAGGGGACCCGAGACCGCCUCGGCCUCCGCCCGCUAGUCUGGUCGGGGCCCAGGGGCUCCGGGGUCCGAGGCCUUGCGCCCCCGGCUCAGUCCCGAGGGACUCCUGCUCACGGAGGCUCGGAGCCUCUCUCGGGCUCUGUGUCUCCCUCCCUGUCCCUCCGCCCGCCCCGGUCUCUGUCUCUCCCUCCCUGUCUUGCCCUGUCUCCCUCCCCCGUCUCUCUCUCUCCCUCCCAGUCUCUGUGUCCCUCCCAGUCUUUCUUCUCUCACUCCCUAUCUCGGCCUGUCCCUCCCUGUCUCUCCCUCCCUGUCUCUGUGUCUACCUUCUUGUCUCUCGGUCUCUCACUUGUCUCCCUCCCUGUCUCAUUCUCUCCAUCCUGUCUCUGUCUCGGUCUCUCCCUCCCUGUCUCAGUCUCCCCUCCUGUCUCUCGUCUCCCUCCCUGCACCCUGGUCUCUCCCCUCUGACUCAUCUCUCCCUCCCUGUCUCUGGAUCCCUCCUUCCCUGUCCUGUGUCGCUCCCCCUGUCUCCAUCUCUCACACCCGUCGUUUCAGUCUCUCCUCCUUGUCUCCAUCUCUCUCUCCCUCCCUGUCUCUCUGUCUCUUCCUCCCUGUCUCUUGGUGUCUCCCUCCCUGUCUCUGUCUGUCCCUCCCUGUCUCUCUCACCCUGUCUUUCUGUCUCUCCGUCCCUGUCUCUGACUCUCCUUCCCUGUGUCUGCGUCUGUCUCUCCCCGCCGCCCCAUCUCCGUCUCUCCUCCCCGUCUGGUUCGCUCCCUCCCUCUCUCUGA
RNAcentral lists this long non-coding RNA (1803 nucleotides) under Canis lupus familiaris (dog). RNAcentral's name for it is "lncRNA (ENSCAFG00030023911.1)". Lineage: Eukaryota; Metazoa; Chordata; Mammalia; Carnivora; Canidae. The record is from RNAcentral.